This 107-nucleotide non-coding RNA is filed under the name Staphylococcus succinus. RNAcentral describes it as "SAM-I sequence". It matches the Rfam family "SAM riboswitch aptamer (S box leader)". From Rfam's summary of the family: The SAM riboswitch is found upstream of a number of genes which code for proteins involved in methionine or cysteine biosynthesis in Gram-positive bacteria. Lineage: Bacteria; Bacillati; Bacillota; Bacilli; Caryophanales; Staphylococcaceae. The record is from RNAcentral.
CUCUUAUCCAGAGUGGUGGAGGGAUUGUGCCCGAUGAAACCCAGCAACCGUCGUUCAACGAAAUGGUGCUAAUUCACAGAAAGUCGUGUUACUUUCGGAGAUGAGAG